RNAcentral lists this ribosomal RNA (476 nucleotides) under uncultured organism. Its description in RNAcentral is "partial 16S ribosomal RNA". It matches the Rfam family "Bacterial small subunit ribosomal RNA", at positions 331 to 798 of the family's 1533-position model. The record is from RNAcentral.
GUACACUCCUACGGGAGGCAGCAGUGGGGAAUUUUGGACAAUGGGCGAAAGCCUGAUCCAGCAAUGCCGCGUGUGUGAAGAAGGCCUUCGGGUUGUAAAGCACUUUUGUCCGGAAAGAAAUCCUUGGCUCUAAUACAGUCGGGGGAUGACGGUACCGGAAGAAUAAGCACCGGCUAACUACGUGCCAGCAGCCGCGGUAAUACGUAGGGUGCGAGCGUUAAUCGGAAUUACUGGGCGUAAAGCGUGCGCAGGCGGUUUGCUAAGACCGAUGUGAAAUCCCCGGGCUCAACCUGGGAACUGCAUUGGUGACUGGCAGGCUAGAGUAUGGCAGAGGGGGGUAGAAUUCCACGUGUAGCAGUGAAAUGCGUAGAGAUGUGGAGGAAUACCGAUGGCGAAGGCAGCCCCCUGGGCCAAUACUGACGCUCAUGCACGAAAGCGUGGGGAGCAAACAGGAUUAGAUACCCUUGUAGUCCCAU